GAUGAAGAACGCAGCGAAAUGCGAUAAGUAAUGUGAAUUGCAGAAUUCAGUGAAUCAUCGAAUCUUUGAACGCACAUUGCGCCCCCUGGUAUUCCGGGGGGCAUGCCUGUUCGAGCGUCAUUUCACCACUCAAGCCUCGCUUGGUAUUGGGCAACGCGGUCCGCCGCUUGCCUCAAAUCGUCCGGCUGGGUCUUCUGUCCCCUAAGCGUUGUGGAAACUAUUCGCUAAAGGGCGUUCGGGAGGCUACGCCGUAAAACAACCCCAUUUCUAAGGUUGACCUCGGAUCAGGUAGGGAUACCCGCUGAACUUAAGCAUAUCAAUAAGCGGAGGA
This 331-nucleotide unclassified non-coding RNA is filed under the name soil metagenome. RNAcentral's name for it is "partial contains 5.8S ribosomal RNA, internal transcribed spacer 2, and large subunit ribosomal RNA". The stretch from base 1 to 120 matches the Rfam family "5.8S ribosomal RNA", at positions 35 to 154 of the family's 154-position model. The record is from RNAcentral.